CGACUCCUCACUCAAUACUUCGGUGAGAAUUAUCUAGCGCCCACAAAACCUUUUCAACACAUGACCUUACCAUUUGGAAUCAAUAAUGUUACUCGGCCAACAAAAACUGCCCCAUAAUCAGCUUACCAAUCAAAAGCCCAAUAAUAUGAACAAGCAGAAAUCCUUAAUCAUCUCAUGGAUUUCCAAAUAGCCUGAUCAUGCUCAACACAUUACAGGAUCUCUUCAAACAACAAUUACAAUAACAUCAUUCAAACAGAUUUAAAGUUUUAGUUCCUGUUAAGCCACUGCCAUCAGUUUGAUUUAAACCUAAGCAAAUUACUGUUGCUCUAACCAAAGCGACAGACAAACUAAACCAACGGAAUCUAAUAUAUGGUGUUCCGUAUUUCAACAGUUUGAGGAAGGCUAUAUCAACUCCAGAAACAAGGCUUCUUGUUUAUUGGUCAGACCAAGUUCAUUCAAACGUAAUGAGCAGUCACCAGUGCAGAAGGUGCGUCUAGGAUAUGGCCUCAACUGUUCAAGAAUGAAACGAACCUAAGAGUCAGAAAAUAUAAAUAACUAGCUAAUUAUUUCGCCUAACUAAUUGUUCAAGAGGGUUCUUAAUCCAAGGACGAGUAGUCAAGAAAUCAGAUAACACUCACCACCCUGUAAGUUCCAGGCUUCACUGUUCUACCAAGAUCAAUAAAAUCAAAAAGAUGCUACAGGGAAAAAGGCAAAGAAAAUCAGUCUAGCCAAGAGAGAAAAAAAAAAAAAGGUGAACUUGCUAAAGAUUUGUGAACAUAUCACCUGAAGCUUGUCAGACUUGAGAAAGCGACGUCCACGGCGGCUGCCAUCUGGCAUACGAACAAGAAGAGUCACUGCAUUUGUGUCAUCGACAGCUGGCUCCUGAGGAAGUGAAGCUUCUUUUGCAGCUAUUAAUCUCUCAGAUUCCUACCAUUAGUGAGAUUCACAUAUCCUUUUAAUGCAGAUACAAUCAAUGCCAACCAGAUAAAUUUUUACCAUGCAGUUGGAAGGACCAUAAUCCAUCAAGGAUGUUUAAGAAAAGAGAUUAUGUCAGUCACUUUCCAUUUCAUCGGGCCAUAAAGAAAUUGAUUUUUUAUUUUUAUUUAUUUUUAUUAUAACUCAUAAAGACACAGAGGACAGAGAUAUUAUUGAGAAUUAUGAUUGUGACCACAAACCAUGUCUCAACUACAAAAGGGAGAUCAAAUAGCCACUGAUUCAGAUAAAAUUGUACAGGAACAUGUAAAGAAAUGGAAUCCAAGAUAAAUAAAUGUCAAAAACUUAUAAAUACUAAACCAAAUACUCGGCAAUGCCAGAACUUAAUGGAUACACUCCUUAACUCUCCAUCAAUUGUCUUCUUUUGAGAUUCACCUUCCUUCAAGUAAGAAGUUUCAGGUCCGUUGAAGGCACUUGUCUCUUUUUCUCCAUCGGCUAAAAGGGAUGCAAGAUAGUCAUCAUCCUGAUGUUCUUAUAGUAACUGCCAUGCCAUAAGUGAGUGUGAUGGUUGAUGGGGUACUUGCUGUGGAUGGAGGCAUUUACUUUUAUGUGGAGCAGUGUGUGGAUGAGGUGUACAUUGGGAUGAAGUACCUUCAGGAGUUUCACCAAAAAGUGCCACCUCAAGAAGAAUUGCUUCAUCAAACUCCUUGGAAGAAAUGCUCCUCCAAUCUUAAUUUUUGACUCACCAAUGAUCAUUUUUGCAAAUCCUCAGCUCCCACUUGAAAAGAUGAGCUUCCUGGCUUUAAUUUCAAAAGGAAAAAUAUAAGACCCUCAUAAAGAUUUUUUUUUCUUUUUUUAAAUCUUUAGUUUCAUAGGGAAAAUCAGAAACUCCUAUAAUAUCUUAUAUAUGUAUUAUGUUUUAGGUCUCAUCAUCAAAAUAAAGUGGCAUAAUAGCUGAACAAAGGCUAACCUAAAGGGAUAUGUUUUUAACUUUAAACUUAAUAGAACUUUCUAGAAAAAUAUCUAAACGAUAGUGUUUCUUAUGCAUGUAAAGAGAAAACAAUGCCUGCAAUUUCCAAGUUAUGAAUAUCAACUGCAGUGACAUUGUUUGAACAACCACAUUUUUGGUUACCAAUUGUUAGACUGAGGUCUUUGCAAGUGCAACUAGAAGUGUGUGCACACACGUGCCAUCUGCCAUCAUUAGUUUUCUCAGCUCUUCAGAUGAAUUGUGAAUUACCAAAUGUUUUUGGUCCUCUGCUAUUUCCCUUUCAUGUUCUGUUGUCUGCACACAGUUCAUGUUAAAAGGAACCAAUGAUAGCUAAGAUAAGAAAACAGAAUUUUGAAAUAAAAGCACAACCUUCAAGGACAAUGAUAUCGCAUAAGCAAGUUCAUCCUCUUCUGGAUGAAGCUGCCUUUGCAGAGUGUCUGAAUCGUCCUGGACCAACAUGGGUGGGAAGUAUUAAAAAAGAAAACCCAAGAAAUAGGCCAAGGAAAUGACACUAACUUUGGUACAGCUGAUUUGGAGGACCCUAUUUACCUCCUGUUUUUAAGCCUCAAUAGCAAAUUGAAUCAUUUGUUCUUCUAUAUUAUUACCGGGCAACUGUGCUCCUUUAUCCCUUGAGACAUUUCCAUCAAAUUGAUGACCAUCAGUUCAUGAAGUUUGAUUUUCAUCCCCAAAUGCAGGCCGUUCUCCAUAAUGAUAAGGCUGCUCAUAACUACUGUCGAUUCUCUGACAUGUGAAUGUAAUGGCUCAUGAUUUGUGAAAACAGAAGCACCCAGUUGGUUCAAAAGAUUUCUCCUAUAUUUGGGAUCAAAUAGUAACGAAGACUUGAAACUUCUAGCAGUAGACAGAAGUGGUAAAAUCCCACGUGAACUGGCUUGUCUGAUUGCUUGUAUCCGCAAAAUUAUAUUGAGGAGAAACAGCAGAUGCUGGACUUAAACUGCAUAAGAAAGCACAAUGUUACAAUAAUAAUAUCACAGAUACCCAUAAAAAGGGCAGUAUAUUUCACACUAAGUUGCACAAGAAACUGAGAAAAAUGACAAGAUUGUUUGAAAAUAUAAACAGCCUCAUCAAGAUUGCCUUCAUAUUCCGGGUUACCAAACACAAUAAACCACAGAGAAGUUAGAGGUAUAGAAAGACGCGUAUAAAUGACUAA
This 3089-nucleotide unclassified non-coding RNA is filed under the name Hevea brasiliensis (rubber tree). Lineage: Eukaryota; Viridiplantae; Streptophyta; Magnoliopsida; Malpighiales; Euphorbiaceae. The record is from RNAcentral.